CCUGCCCUGAGAGUGGGAUAACAAGGUCGAAAGGCCUGCUAAUACCGCAUAACGCUAUGAAGCUGCAUGGCGUCUUAGCCCAAAGGUUAAUUCCGCUCAAGGAUGGGCCCCGCGGCCCCAUUAGUUAGUUGGUGAGGUAAUGGCUCACCAAGACGACGAUGGGUAGCCGGCCUGAGAGGGUGGUCGGCCACACUGGGACUGAGACACAGCCCAGACUCCUACGGGAGGCAGCAGUGGGGAAUAUUGCGCAAUGGGGGAAACCCUGACGCUGCGACGCCGCGUGAGCGAUGAAGGCCUUCGGGUUGUAAAGCUCUGUCUUCCCUGACGAUCAUGACGGUACGGGAGGAGGUAGCCCACGGCUAACUACGUGCCAGCAGCCGCGGUAAUACGUAGGUGGCGAGCGUUGUCCGGAAUUACUGGGCGUAAAAGGGUGCGUAGGCGGCUCUUUAAGUGGGAUGUGAAAUCCCUGGGCUCAACCCAGGAACUGCAUUCCAAACUGGAGAGCUAGAGUGCAGGAGAGGAAAAGCGGAAUUCCCAGUGUAGCGGUGAAAUGCGUAGAGAUUGGGAGGAACACCAGUGGCGAAGGCGGCUUCUGGACUGUAACUGACGCUGAGGCACGAAAGCGUGGGGAGCAAACAGGAUUAGAUACCCUGGUAGUCCACGCUGUAAACGAUGGGUACUAGGUGUAGGGGGCGAAGCCCUCUGUGCCGCAGCUAACGCAUUAAGUACCCCGCCUGGGGAGUACGGUCGCAAGAUU
RNAcentral lists this ribosomal RNA (757 nucleotides) under uncultured bacterium. Its description in RNAcentral is "bacterial SSU rRNA". It matches the Rfam family "Bacterial small subunit ribosomal RNA", at positions 125 to 895 of the family's 1533-position model. The record is from RNAcentral.